Molecule: transfer RNA, 66 nt
Filed under: Petrolisthes haswelli
Lineage: Eukaryota; Metazoa; Arthropoda; Malacostraca; Decapoda; Porcellanidae
Description: tRNA-Phe
Source: RNAcentral
ACUCUUAUAAUUCAUAGUAUAGAAUAUCACACUGAAGAUGUGGAAGAAGUAGUUUACUUGAGAGUG